Molecule: ribosomal RNA, 2922 nt
Filed under: Pseudomonas syringae pv. maculicola
Lineage: Bacteria; Pseudomonadati; Pseudomonadota; Gammaproteobacteria; Pseudomonadales; Pseudomonadaceae
Description: bacterial LSU rRNA
Rfam family: Bacterial large subunit ribosomal RNA
Source: RNAcentral
GUUAUAUGGUCAAGUGAAGAAGCGCAUACGGUGGAUGCCUUGGCAGUCAGAGGCGAUGAAAGACGUGGUAGCCUGCGAAAAGCUUCGGGGAGUCGGCAAACAGACUGUGAUCCGGAGAUGUCUGAAUGGGGGAACCCAGCCAUCAUAAGAUGGUUAUCUUACACUGAAUACAUAGGUGUAAGAGGCGAACCAGGGGAACUGAAACAUCUAAGUACCCUGAGGAAAAGAAAUCAACCGAGAUUCCCUUAGUAGUGGCGAGCGAACGGGGACCAGCCCUUAAGUUGUAUUGAGAUUAGCGGAACGCUCUGGAAAGGGCGGCCAUAGUGGGUGAUAGCCCUGUACGCGAAAAUCCCUUUGCAAUGAAAUCGAGUAGGACGGGGCACGAGAAACCUUGUCUGAAUAUGGGGGGACCAUCCUCCAAGGCUAAAUACUACUGACUGACCGAUAGUGAACCAGUACCGUGAGGGAAAGGCGAAAAGAACCGCGGAGAGCGGAGUGAAAUAGAUCCUGAAACCGUAUGCGUACAAGCAGUGGGAGCCCACUUUGUUGGGUGACUGCGUACCUUUUGUAUAAUGGGUCAGCGACUUAUUUUCAGUGGCGAGCUUAACCGAAUAGGGGAGGCGUAGCGAAAGCGAGUCUUAAUAGGGCGUCUAGUCGCUGGGAAUAGACCCGAAACCGGGCGAUCUAUCCAUGGGCAGGUUGAAGGUUGGGUAACACUAACUGGAGGACCGAACCGACUACCGUUGAAAAGUUAGCGGAUGACCUGUGGAUCGGGUGAAAGGCUAAUCAAGCUCGGAGAUAGCUGGUUCUCCUCGAAAGCUAUUUAGGUAGCGCCUCAUGUAUCACUGUAGGGGGUAGAGCACUGUUUCGGCUAGGGGGUCAUCCCGACUUACCAAACCGAUGCAAACUCCGAAUACCUACAAGUGCCGAGCAUGGGAGACACACGGCGGGUGCUAACGUCCGUCGUGAAAAGGGAAACAACCCAGACCGUCAGCUAAGGUCCCAAAGUCAUGGUUAAGUGGGAAACGAUGUGGGAAGGCUUAGACAGCUAGGAGGUUGGCUUAGAAGCAGCCACCCUUUAAAGAAAGCGUAAUAGCUCACUAGUCGAGUCGGCCUGCGCGGAAGAUGUAACGGGGCUCAAACCAUGCACCGAAGCUACGGGUAUCAUCUUUUUGAUGAUGCGGUAGAGGAGCGUUCUGUAAGCCUGUGAAGGUGAGUUGAGAAGCUUGCUGGAGGUAUCAGAAGUGCGAAUGCUGACAUGAGUAACGACAAUGGGUGUGAAAAACACCCACGCCGAAAGACCAAGGUUUCCUGCGCAACGUUAAUCGACGCAGGGUUAGUCGGUCCCUAAGGCGAGGCUGAAAAGCGUAGUCGAUGGAAAACAGGUUAAUAUUCCUGUACUUCUGGUUAUUGCGAUGGAGGGACGGAGAAGGCUAGGCCAGCCUGGCGUUGGUAGUCCAGGUUUAAGGUGGUAGGCUGAGAUCUUAGGUAAAUCCGGGAUCUUAAGGCCGAGAGCUGAUGACGAGUGUUCUUUUAGAACAUGAAGUGGUUGAUGCCAUGCUUCCAAGAAAAGCUUCUAAGCUUCAGGUAACCAGGAACCGUACCCCAAACCGACACAGGUGGUUGGGUAGAGAAUACCAAGGCGCUUGAGAGAACUCGGGUGAAGGAACUAGGCAAAAUGGCACCGUAACUUCGGGAGAAGGUGCGCCGGUGAGGGUGAAGCAUUUACUGCGUAAGCCCACGCCGGUCGAAGAUACCAGGCCGCUGCGACUGUUUAUUAAAAAAACACAGCACUCUGCAAACACGAAAGUGGACGUAUAGGGUGUGACGCCUGCCCGGUGCCGGAAGGUUAAUUGAUGGGGUUAGCGCAAGCGAAGCUCUUGAUCGAAGCCCCGGUAAACGGCGGCCGUAACUAUAACGGUCCUAAGGUAGCGAAAUUCCUUGUCGGGUAAGUUCCGACCUGCACGAAUGGCGUAACGAUGGCGGCGCUGUCUCCACCCGAGACUCAGUGAAAUUGAAAUCGCUGUGAAGAUGCAGUGUAUCCGCGGCUAGACGGAAAGACCCCGUGAACCUUUACUAUAGCUUUGCACUGGACUUUGAAUUUGCUUGUGUAGGAUAGGUGGGAGGCUUUGAAGCGUGGACGCCAGUCUGCGUGGAGCCAACCUUGAAAUACCACCCUGGCAACUUUGAGGUUCUAACUCAGGUCCGUUAUCCGGAUCGAGGACAGUGUAUGGUGGGUAGUUUGACUGGGGCGGUCUCCUCCUAAAGAGUAACGGAGGAGUACGAAGGUGCGCUCAGACCGGUCGGAAAUCGGUCGUAGAGUAUAAAGGCAAAAGCGCGCUUGACUGCGAGACAGACACGUCGAGCAGGUACGAAAGUAGGUCUUAGUGAUCCGGUGGUUCUGUAUGGAAGGGCCAUCGCUCAACGGAUAAAAGGUACUCCGGGGAUAACAGGCUGAUACCGCCCAAGAGUUCAUAUCGACGGCGGUGUUUGGCACCUCGAUGUCGGCUCAUCACAUCCUGGGGCUGAAGCCGGUCCCAAGGGUAUGGCUGUUCGCCAUUUAAAGUGGUACGCGAGCUGGGUUUAGAACGUCGUGAGACAGUUCGGUCCCUAUCUGCCGUGGACGUUUGAGAUUUGAGAGGGGGGCUGCUCCUAGUACGAGAGGACCGGAGUGGACGAACCUCUGGUGUUCCGGUUGUCACGCCAGUGGCAUUGCCGGGUAGCUAUGUUCGGAAAAGAUAACCGCUGAAAGCAUCUAAGCGGGAAACUUGCCUCAAGAUGAGAUCUCACUGGAACCUUGAGUUCCCUGAAGGGCCGUCGAAGACUACGACGUUGAUAGGUUGGGUGUGUAAGCGCUGUGAGGCGUUGAGCUAACCAAUACUAAUUGCCCGUGAGGCUUGACCAUAUAACACCCAAGCAAUU